CUUACACAUGCAAGUCGAACGGCAGCAUGAUCUAGCUUGCUAGAUUGAUGGCGAGUGGCGAACGGGUGAGUAAUACAUCGGAACGUGCCCUGUAGUGGGGGAUAACUAGUCGAAAGAUUAGCUAAUACCGCAUACGACCUGAGGGUGAAAGUGGGGGACCGCAAGGCCUCAUGCUAUAGGAGCGGCCGAUGUCUGAUUAGCUAGUUGGUGGGGUAAAGGCCCACCAAGGCGACGAUCAGUAGCUGGUCUGAGAGGACGAUCAGCCACACUGGGACUGAGACACGGCCCAGACUCCUACGGGAGGCAGCAGUGGGGAAUUUUGGACAAUGGGCGAAAGCCUGAUCCAGCAAUGCCGCGUGUGUGAAGAAGGCCUUCGGGUUGUAAAGCACUUUUGUCCGGAAAGAAAUGGCUCUGGUUAAUACCUGGGGUCGAUGACGGUACCGGAAGAAUAAGGACCGGCUAACUACGUGCCAGCAGCCGCGGUAAUACGUAGGGUCCAAGCGUAAAUCGGAAUUACUGGGCGUAAAGCGUGCGCAGGCGGUUGUGCAAGACCGAUGUGAAAUCCCCGAGCUUAACUUGGGAAUUGCAUUGGUGACUGCACGGCUAGAGUGUGUCAGAGGGGGGUAGAAUUCCACGUGUAGCAGUGAAAUGCGUAGAGAUGUGGAGGAAUACCGAUGGCGAAGGCAGCCCCCUGGGAUAACACUGACGCUCAUGCACGAAAGCGUGGGGAGCAAACAGGAUUAGAUACCCUGGUAGUCCACGCCCUAAACGAUGUCAACUAGUUGUUGGGGAUUCAUUUCCUUAGUAACGUAGCUAACGCGUGAAGUUGACCGCCUGGGGAGUACGGUCGCAAGAUUAAAACUCAAAGGAAUUGACGGGGACCCGCACAAGCGGUGGAUGAUGUGGAUUAAUUCGAUGCAACGCGAAAAACCUUACCUACCCUUGACAUGCCACUAACGAAGCAGAGAUGCAUUAGGUGCUCGAAAGAGAAAGUGGACACAGGUGCUGCAUGGCUGUCGUCAGCUCGUGUCGUGAGAUGUUGGGUUAAGUCCCGCAACGAGCGCAACCCUUGUCUCUAGUUGCUACGAAAGGGCACUCUAGAGAGACUGCCGGUGACAAACCGGAGGAAGGUGGGGAUGACGUCAAGUCCUCAUGGCCCUUAUGGGUAGGGCUUCACACGUCAUACAAUGGUGCAUACAGAGGGUUGCCAAGCCGCGAGGUGGAGCUAAUCCCAGAAAAUGCAUCGUAGUCCGGAUCGUAGUCUGCAACUCGACUACGUGAAGCUGGAAUCGCUAGUAAUCGCGGAUCAGCAUGCCGCGGUGAUACGUUCCCGGGUCUUGUACACACCGCCCGUCACACCAUGGGAGUGGGCUUUACC
RNAcentral lists this ribosomal RNA (1378 nucleotides) under uncultured Ralstonia sp. RNAcentral describes it as "bacterial SSU rRNA". It matches the Rfam family "Bacterial small subunit ribosomal RNA", at positions 48 to 1421 of the family's 1533-position model. The record is from RNAcentral. Lineage: Bacteria; Pseudomonadati; Pseudomonadota; Betaproteobacteria; Burkholderiales; Burkholderiaceae.